This 542-nucleotide ribosomal RNA is filed under the name Lactobacillus sp. 6. Its description in RNAcentral is "bacterial SSU rRNA". It matches the Rfam family "Bacterial small subunit ribosomal RNA", at positions 882 to 1425 of the family's 1533-position model. The record is from RNAcentral. Lineage: Bacteria; Bacillati; Bacillota; Bacilli; Lactobacillales; Lactobacillaceae.
ACGGCCGCAAGGCUGAAACUCAAAGGAAUUGACGGGGGCCCGCACAAGCGGUGGAGCAUGUGGUUUAAUUCGAAGCUACGCGAAGAACCUUACCAGGUCUUGACAUACUAUGCAAAUCUAAGAGAUUAGACGCUCCCUUCGGGGACAUGGAUACAGGUGGUGCAUGGUUGUCGUCAGCUCGUGUCGUGAGAUGUUGGGUUAAGUCCCGCAACGAGCGCAACCCUUAUUAUCAGUUGCCAGCAUUAAGUUGGGCACUCUGGUGAGACUGCCGGUGACAAACCGGAGGAAGGUGGGGAUGACGUCAAAUCAUCAUGCCCCUUAUGACCUGGGCUACACACGUGCUACAAUGGAUGGUACAACGAGUUGCGAACUCGCGAGAGUAAGCUAAUCUCUUAAAGCCAUUAUCAGUUCGGAUUGUAGGCUGCAACUCGCCUACAUGAAGUCGGAAUCGCUAGUAAUCGCGGAUCAGCAUGCCGCGGUGAAUACCUUCCCGGGCCUUGUACACACCGCCCGUCACACCAUGAGAGUUUAUAACACCCAAA